AGAGUUUGAUCCUGGCUCAGAGCGAACGCUGGCGGCAGGCCUAACACAUGCAAGUCGAACGCACCUUCGGGUGAGUGGCGGACGGGUGAGUAACACGUGGGAACGUACCUUUUGGUUCGGAAUAACGCAGGGAAACUUGUGCUAAUACCGAAUGUGCCCUUCGGGGGAAAGAUUUAUCGCCAUUAGAGCGGCCCGCGUUAGAUUAACUAGUUGGUGAGGUAAAGGCUCACCAAGGCUACGAUCUAUAGCUGGUCUGAGAGGAUGAUCAGCCACAUUGGGACUGAGACACGGCCCAAACUCCUACGGGAGGCAGCAGUGGGGAAUCUUGCGCAAUGGGCGAAAGCCUGACGCAGCCAUGCCGCGUGAAUGAUGAAGGUCUUAGGAUUGUAAAAUUCUUUCAGUAGGGACGAUAAUGACGGUACCUACAGAAGAAGCCCCGGCUAACUUCGUGCCAGCAGCCGCGGUAAUACGAAGGGGGCUAGCGUUGCUCGGAAUUACUGGGCGUAAAGGGAGCGUAGGCGGGUUAUCAAGUUGGAGGUGAAAGCCCAGGGCUCAACCUUGGAAUUGCCUUCAAAACUGAUAGCCUAGAGUAUGAUAGAGGUAUGUGGAACUCCGAGUGUAGAGGUGAAAUUCGUAGAUAUUCGGAAGAACACCAGUGGCGAAGGCGACAUACUGGGUCAUGACUGACGCUGAGGCUCGAAAGCGUGGGGAGCAAACAGGAUUAGAUACCCUGGUAGUCCACGCUGUAAACGAUGAUUGCUAGUUGUCGGACGGCAUGCCGUUCGGUGACGCAGCUAACGCAUUAAGCAAUCCGCCUGGGGAGUACGGUCGCAAGAUUAAAACUCAAAGGAAUUGACGG
RNAcentral lists this ribosomal RNA (859 nucleotides) under uncultured bacterium. RNAcentral's name for it is "bacterial SSU rRNA". It matches the Rfam family "Bacterial small subunit ribosomal RNA", at positions 8 to 916 of the family's 1533-position model. The record is from RNAcentral.